RNAcentral lists this ribosomal RNA (498 nucleotides) under uncultured bacterium. RNAcentral's name for it is "partial 16S ribosomal RNA". It matches the Rfam family "Bacterial small subunit ribosomal RNA", at positions 899 to 1397 of the family's 1533-position model. The record is from RNAcentral.
ACUCAAAUGAAUUGACGGGGGCCCGCACAAGCGGUGGAGUAUGUGGCUUAAUUCGAUGCAACGCGAAGAACCUUACCUGGCCUUGACAUGCAAGAGACCGGAAAUGAAAGUUUCCUUUCCGCAAGGACUGUUGCACAGGUGCUGCAUGGCUGUCGUCAGCUCGUGUCGUGAGAUGUUGGGUUAAGUCCCGCAACGAGCGCAACCCUUGUGAACUGUUGCCGAGGUUAAUACCGAGGCUCUCUGUUCAGACUGCCCUGUGAAACGGGGAGGAAGGUGGGGAUGACGUCAAGUCAGCAUGGCCCUUACGGCCAGGGCUGCACACGUACUACAAUGCCCAGUACAGAACGAUCCAAAACCGCGAGGUGGAGGAAAUCCUGAAAACUGGGCCCAGUUCGGAUUGGAGGCUGCAACUCGCCUCCAUGAAGCCGGAAUCGCUAGUAAUGGCGCAUCAGCUACGGCGCCGUGAAUACGUUCCCGGGCCUUGUACACACCGCCCGU